RNAcentral lists this non-coding RNA (27 nucleotides) under Cricetulus griseus (Chinese hamster). The record is from RNAcentral. Lineage: Eukaryota; Metazoa; Chordata; Mammalia; Rodentia; Cricetidae.
UGGAAGUCAGCAUUCUGGAGUGGAGAA